RNAcentral lists this ribosomal RNA (355 nucleotides) under uncultured bacterium. RNAcentral describes it as "bacterial SSU rRNA". It matches the Rfam family "Bacterial small subunit ribosomal RNA", at positions 527 to 881 of the family's 1533-position model. The record is from RNAcentral.
GUAGGUGGCAAGCGUUGUCCGGAUUUACUGGGUGUAAAGGGCGUGUAGGCGGGAGAGCAAGUCAGAAGUGAAAUCUAUGGGCUUAACCCAUAAACUGCUUUUGAAACUGUUCUUCUUGAGUAUCGGAGAGGCAGGCGGAAUUCCUAGUGUAGCGGUGAAAUGCGUAGAUAUUAGGAGGAACACCAGUGGCGAAGGCGACUUUCUGGACAGAAACUGACGUUGAGGCACGAAAGUGUGGGGAGCAAACAGGAUUAGAUACCCUGGUAGUCCACACCGUAAACGAUGGAUACUAGGUGUAGGGUGUGAUAAACACUCUGUGCCGUCGCAAACGCAAUAAGUAUCCCACCUGGGGAGU